GUGAUGAUCCGCCAGUGGCCUAACGGUGAAGACCUCACCCUUUGCUGA
RNAcentral lists this small nucleolar RNA (48 nucleotides) under Pyrobaculum islandicum DSM 4184. RNAcentral describes it as "PISsR21". Lineage: Archaea; Thermoproteati; Thermoproteota; Thermoprotei; Thermoproteales; Thermoproteaceae. The record is from RNAcentral.